RNAcentral lists this ribosomal RNA (382 nucleotides) under uncultured eukaryote. Its description in RNAcentral is "partial 18S ribosomal RNA". It matches the Rfam family "Eukaryotic small subunit ribosomal RNA", at positions 592 to 976 of the family's 1831-position model. The record is from RNAcentral.
UGUAAGCGUAUACCAAAGUUGUUGCAGUUAAAACGCUCGUAGUCGGAAUUUGGCAGUUCCGGAUGUGUGCACGUCGUGUGCGCACUUCGCGGGGAUUGCUUUUGUGGUCUUGCGUAGGAUGAGGCACUUUUAUUAGUGAACGUCCUCACGCAACCACUUUUUACUGUGAGAAAAUCAGAGUGCUCAAAGCAGGCAUUUGCCGUGGAUGUAUUAGCAUGGAAUAAUAGAAUAGGACUUGGUUCUAUUUUGUUGGUUUGUUGGGACUGAGUAAUGAUUAAGAGGGACAGUUGGGGGCAUUUGUAUUUCGGUGCUAGAGGUGAAAUUCUUAGAUUACCGAAAGACAAACUGCUGCGAAAGCGUCUGCCAAGGAUGUUUUCAUUGA